AGGACUAACGCUGGCUGCGUGCCUAACACAUGCAAGUCGAGCGGGGUAGCAAUACCCAGCGGCAGACGGGUGAGUAACGCGUGGUCAACCUUCCGUUGAAUGGGGGAUAACUAGCCGAAAGGUUAGCUAAUACCGCAUACGAUCUUUUGAAGGCAUCUUUAAAAAGAUGAAAGGAGCAAUUCGUUCAACGACGGGACCGCGUCCCAUUAGCUAGAUGGUUGGGUAAUGGCCUACCAUGGCAACGAUGGGUAGCUGGUUUGAGAGAGCGACCAGCCACACUGGGGACUGAGAAACGGCCCAGACUCCUACGGGAGGCAGCAGUGAGGAAUUUUCCGCAAUGGGCGAAAGCCUGACGGAGCGACGCCGCGUGUGGGAAGAAGGCCUUCGGGUCGUAAACCACUGUCGAAGGGGACGAGUAAUGACGGUACCCUUGGAGGAAGCCCCGGCUAACUACGUGCCAGCAGCCGC
RNAcentral lists this ribosomal RNA (468 nucleotides) under uncultured bacterium. RNAcentral's name for it is "SSU rRNA". It matches the Rfam family "Bacterial small subunit ribosomal RNA", at positions 26 to 518 of the family's 1533-position model. The record is from RNAcentral.